CCGGACAUAGCUCAGUUGGAAGUAGCGAUGGUUUGUAAUGGCAACCCUAAUCCGGUAUUCAACGGAAUUUCACCAUAGGUCGCCGGUUCGAUUCCGGCUGUCCGGA
Testicularia cyperi is the source of this 106-nucleotide non-coding RNA. Lineage: Eukaryota; Fungi; Basidiomycota; Ustilaginomycetes; Ustilaginales; Anthracoideaceae. The record is from the annotation of a GenBank genome assembly.